GGAUGGGGGUACCAAGUAAUUAAGCAUGUUUUUCCUGUCUUUUAUUUUUGGAAAAAAUAUUGUUUAGUCCCUGUACUCUGAUUCUGUCCUCAUUUCAGUUCUUGACAUUCUAAUUUAAUCUGAAAAGUCCCUGAGGUCACAAUUUUCGUCCGAUUGGUACACUCCGUCCAAUUGCUCCGUUUGUAGGCUGACUUGGCAUUAAAGUCAACGCCACGUAAGCCUUUCUAAUUGUGAAAUGUCCAUACUAUCCAUGCCCUCUAUUACGGGUGUUUAGGCCGAACCCUUCUCCAUCCAUUUCUUGAGAAGCAUCAGAUCGAGCCCCAAAAAUCAAGUCGUGUUGUAAUGAUGGUGACUCAGCCUUCUCUCCACUUUCCGGCUACCUCUCGACGUCAGACCGGUGUUGUUCGACUCCUCUUGGCGGCGCAGACCGGAGCCCAGUCUUCCUUGCUCCGAACGAGCGGUGACGGUGGCCGGGCAAAGCCUGAAAGCUUCACGUGUUUCCGGCGAGGUUUUCCAAUUCGGGCCAAAUUGUGGCAGCUCACUGGUGUCAGAAGCUUCCUCUCGUCCUCGCCGACCUAUCCACGGUGUUGGUUUGUCCAGAUGAUAAGGCAUGAGAUAGAAUCGAAGCCGGGAAGCUUCGAUGCUUUCGGCGAGUUUUCCGGCAACUCCGGUCACCGUUGAUGGUGUGGCGUUUGAAGUGACAAAUUCAAGCACUUUGGAGUUAUUUUUUGGUCAAGAAUGGGGGAAAAGGCAGGGGGUAUAUUGGACAAUUUGCAUGUUACAUGACAUGCAAACUGCUGAGCUAGUGUGCCUAUGAGUGCCACAUCAGCAACUUAACGGCCCGAUUUGACGGAAUGUUAAUGGUGAGAAUCGAUUAGACGGAAAUUGUUACCUCAGGGAUUUUUCAAAUUAAAUUACAAUGUCAGGGACUGAAACGAUGACAGAGUCUUAGUACAGGGACUAAACACUAUUUUCUCCUUUAUUUUUAGUUUUCUGAUGGUGAUGGUGCUAUAGAUCCCAAAAAGUAUUACAAAAUUUUAAUACCAAAUGAGGUGGCAUAUGCUAUGUCAUCAGCUUUUGUUUAGAAAA
Rosa rugosa (rugosa rose) is the source of this 1089-nucleotide long non-coding RNA. RefSeq lists it as uncharacterized. NCBI's taxonomy places the organism in Eukaryota, Viridiplantae, Streptophyta, Magnoliopsida, Rosales, Rosaceae. The transcript is spliced from 2 exons. The record is from RefSeq and is a predicted model, not a curated record.